Long non-coding RNA from Ostrea edulis (European flat oyster), 2053 nucleotides. RefSeq lists it as uncharacterized. The record is from RefSeq and is a predicted model, not a curated record. NCBI's taxonomy places the organism in Eukaryota, Metazoa, Mollusca, Bivalvia, Ostreida, Ostreidae. The transcript is spliced from 4 exons.
ACAAAACUGAAAGUUCCACUUAUAUUGUACACAGGUAUAAAAUAUACAGUCAAUGAAACUGCAUUUCUUUGUUCUUUGUGUGUAAAUUAUUGAUUGUAACAGAAAUAAAUAUCAGUUAAAUUUGCAACAAAUACACAAAACCCAGCAGCAAAUACUCAACGUACAGUUAAGGUUUACUAAUCACGUGAUCCUUUAUCUAAUUACAUAUACAUUAAUUAAACUAACAUUGGGUUUUCCUUGACAAAGCACUGAUUUAAAUCGGUAAGGAAAAACAUUCCAUCAUUCGUUUAAAAAUAUAAAAUUCAUUAUAUCAUAAAUUUACUUUGAAUAAAAUAUUAUUCUCUAAGAGAAAUGCCAAUGGAAUAUUUUGAGUCGGAACAUUUUCUAUACAGGAUCGGUCGAAAACACACAAACCUGUCAGAUGUCAUUCUUAUAAGUUCACAUUGUUCAGAUAAACCUCCCCUAAAUGAUAAUAAUCAACGUUUUUGAUCUUUUGGAAGUAUCAAUAGAGUCUGUAAGUCUCGUUUGCUUUCAUUUUCGGUUUUACUACUUCCGGGUACAACAACAUGUGGAAUAUAUAAAGUCGUAACAGAGAAUCGGCGCUAAUUUGUAAUUUGGUGUAUUGUUAAGCGAUCGGCUGCAUACAUGAGACGGGGAAAACCCUGCCAUGUAGUUUAUUUAGGUUCCUAGUCGAUGCUACAAUAAGGAAGCGGUGGAUACAAAGAUGUAGACACAAAGUUACGAAACCUGCUGAAGCAGAAGCAUCUGCUUCAAAUGUACAUGUAGGAACCGAAAUUGAUACUGCUACCAAUAUAUCUGUACCAGACAACAAUGAAGUGCAUCUACAUGAUCACGAGUAUUAACAGCACCAAACCCUCAACAUUUAAAAAGCUUCCCUUGAAGACUAUGAUGUUGUAAACUUGCAGUGAGAAAUAUACCUGCUUAAUUAAAGGAAACCAUCCAUGACAUUUGGGAACAUCAUAAUUGAAAGACCCUGGAAAGGGAUCAUGAACACUGUUGGGAGUGUCCAUUCAACUGAAAUAUAAAAGUAAGAAGAAUUGAAGAUUGCAAUGGAUGCAACAGAAGUGACCUAAUAUGACCAAAUUGAUAUGAAUAGCCAGUUUUUCGCUUGCAGUAAUGACAAGAGUCGCCACAAAGAAAAGACCUUAAUGUGUAUUACACCUAAUGCAGCUUAUUUCCAAUCUGUAUGCUGGAUACAAAUCUAAUUUGGCAAUUGUGAACCAUUGUGACAUUUUAGAGAAGUUGCAAGUUGGUGAUAUAUUCCUGGCGGACAAAGGAUUUUGUUUUUUUGACAAACUUCCAAAUGACAUGACACUUAAUAUCCCAUUCUUUCUUACAAAUAAAUCCCACUUCUCAAAAGAGGAUGCACAACUUUGCUAUAAAAUUUCCAGAUGCAGAAUCCAUGUUGGAUGGGAAAAUGAGAGAUCUUUUUUUUUUUAAAUUCCUUAGCCAUUAUAGAUAUUGAUCUGACAAAAUAUUUCAGAUUUGUGUGGAUCAUGUGAAUUUGCAGGUUCCCCUUUUGAAGGAGAUUGCAGAUAAAUCCUACAAACUUAUUAGAUUAAUUGUAUGUAUAUAUAUAUACCUUAAAUCUGCACAUACCUGCCACAUUGAAUUUUUAAAGUUAAAAGUAAUGAAUACCAUAUAUGCAAUAUAACUUUACUACAUAUUUAUUUAAAUAUAAAGCCUUUUAUAUUCAUAUGAAUAUAAAGCCCUUUGGAACGUCUCCAUCAGAAUGAAAUAUUCUCGAGAGGAAUGUUAAACAAUAUACAAUCAAACAUAAAGCCUUUUGUUCUCAUUCUGAAGGUUUUCAAAUCUGCAUUAUUAAAAAAGAAGUAAAAUCCAUUGUUUGAGUAAAUGCAUGUAAUUGGAUGAUUUUUGUAAAGCUGGACACUGUGUCUAUACAUACAUGUAUUUUGGUUCAUCUAAAAUAAGAAAAACGCUUGUCUAUAAUGUUUAUUCAAUAAAUAUACAUGUAAUUACAUAACUUUGAUAGAUGCACCACUGAUAUCAUAAUAAAGUAUAUGUACAUGUG